This 572-nucleotide unclassified non-coding RNA is filed under the name Hevea brasiliensis (rubber tree). Lineage: Eukaryota; Viridiplantae; Streptophyta; Magnoliopsida; Malpighiales; Euphorbiaceae. The record is from RNAcentral.
GAUGGCAAGGGUAUAUUAAAGACUAUGAUGGAGGUAUUCUUAUGGAAUGCAAAAUUGAUCCAAAACUCCCAUACACUGAUUUAUCAACUAUGAUUCGUCGUCAAAGACAGGUGGGAUAAAAAUGUACUUUGUUAAUUGAUUCUUAUGUGGAAGUUUCUAAGGGAUGCUGUUGAGAGAGAAUACAUUUAAUGUCAACAGUGAGUUGGAUUUACAAUGGUUACACUGUUUACCAUGGAAAUCAUCAAAUCGAGAUUCUUACUAUGCUUCCAUCAUUGCAUAGUAUCGAGCCCCAUUUGUCAACACAGUAAAUGCAUUAGCAUUGUUUUUAAGUGUCAAAAAUUGUUCCUUGAUAGAGAGGCCUAUAAUUAUUAUUGAUUAUGUUGUACAGUUCUUACUCCUUGAUUUACUCUGUUUUAUGUGAUAUCAUUUAAAAAGACUUAUUUCAAUGCAUGGCUUUUGAAGUUUCUUUUAAACAUUUGCCUGUGCUGUUUACCCUGUUUUAGUAGAUCUUUACACUGACAUAUCAUUCUUGUUAUUUUGGUAAUGUUAGGCAAUUGAUGAAAAGAUUAGAG